AGCUCCGUAGUCUAGCGGUCAAGGAUACGGGACUCUGAAUCCUGAGACGGGUGUUCAAAUCACCCCGGGGCUACCA
Molecule: transfer RNA, 76 nt
Filed under: Candidatus Heimdallarchaeota archaeon
Lineage: Archaea; Promethearchaeati; Candidatus Heimdallarchaeota
Also listed under: 1 other name
Description: tRNA-Gln
Rfam family: tRNA
About the family: Transfer RNA (tRNA) molecules are approximately 80 nucleotides in length. Their secondary structure includes four short double-helical elements and three loops (D, anti-codon, and T loops).
Source: RNAcentral